Molecule: ribosomal RNA, 478 nt
Filed under: uncultured organism
Description: partial 16S ribosomal RNA
Rfam family: Bacterial small subunit ribosomal RNA
Source: RNAcentral
UACACUCCUGCGGCAGGCAGCAGUGGGGAAUUUUGGACAAUGGGCGCAAGCCUGAUCCAGCCAUGCCGCGUGCGGGAAGAAGGCCUUCGGGUUGUAAACCGCUUUUGUCAGGGAAGAAAAGGUUCUGGCUAAUACCUGGGACUCAUGACGGUACCUGAAGAAUAAGCACCGGCUAACUACGUGCCAGCAGCCGCGGUAAUACGUAGGGUGCAAGCGUUAAUCGGAAUUACUGGGCGUAAAGCGUGCGCAGGCGGUUAUGCAAGACAGAGGUGAAAUCCCCGGGCUCAACCUGGGAACUGCCUUUGUGACUGCAUGGCUAGAGUACGGUAGAGGGGGAUGGAAUUCCGCGUGUAGCAGUGAAAUGCGUAGAUAUGCGGAGGAACACCGAUGGCGAAGGCAAUCCCCUGGACCUGUACUGACGCUCAUGCACGAAAGCGUGGGGAGCAAACAGGAUUAGAAACCCCUGUAGUCCCAUGAU